This 88-nucleotide microRNA precursor is filed under the name Malus domestica (apple). RNAcentral's name for it is "miR7121f stem-loop (mdm-MIR7121f)". Lineage: Eukaryota; Viridiplantae; Streptophyta; Magnoliopsida; Rosales; Rosaceae. The record is from miRBase by way of RNAcentral.
UCCUCUUGGUGAUCGCCCUGCCGGCCUUCCGGAUUCGGGAACUUCUGGAUUCAGGGCCUGCAUAUGGACAUGGCGAUUAGCAAAGGGA